RNAcentral lists this ribosomal RNA (474 nucleotides) under unidentified nematode Sourhope farm. Its description in RNAcentral is "SSU rRNA". It matches the Rfam family "Eukaryotic small subunit ribosomal RNA", at positions 58 to 533 of the family's 1831-position model. Lineage: Eukaryota; Metazoa; Nematoda. The record is from RNAcentral.
UCUUAGCACAUGCCUUAAUACGGUGAAGCCGCGAAUAGCUCAUUACAACAGCCAUCGUUUAUUAGAAUAUCGUUAUCUUACUUGGAUAACUGUGGCAAUUCUAGAGCUAAUACAUGCAAUAAAGCUCCGCCCGAAAGGAACGAGCGCAUUUAUUAGAAUCAAAACCGAUCGAGUUUCGGCUCGUAAUUUGGUGAAUCUGAAUAACUUUGCCAAUCGCACAGAGUACUGGCGAUGUAUCUUUCAAGUGUCUGCCUUAUCAACUUUCGAUGGUACGCUAUACGCCUACCAUGGUAGUAACGGGUAACGGAGAAUAAGGGUUCGACUCCGGAGAGGGAGCCUGAGAAACGGCUACCACAUCCAAGGAAGGCAGCAGGCGCGCAAAUUACCCACUUCCAGAACGGAGAGGUAGUGACGAAAAAUAACGAGACAGUCCUCUUCGAGGUCUGUCAUCGGAAUGGGUACAAUUUAAAUCCU